GCAGCUAUGAUGAAUUAUUACAGUAACAUGCAACAGUUUCAAUUUCAUGACUCAGAUCCAUUUAGAGGUGAAUUAAUGGAAGUUCUUGAACCUUUUAUCAAAAGUCCUUCUUCAACUUCAACUUCACCUUCAUCUUCAACACCAUCACCUUCUUAUUCUUCUUCUCUCUCUUCACCUUCUUUCUACACAGAGCAAAACUUCAUAGGCUUUGCUCAACCAUCUUCUUCUUUUUCUUCUCCUUCUCUUCUUGGUCUCAACCACUUGACACCAUCACAAAUCAACCAAAUCCAAGUACAAAUCCAACAACAAAACUUCACCAUGCAA
This 324-nucleotide long non-coding RNA is filed under the name Medicago truncatula (barrel medic). Its description in RNAcentral is "long non-coding RNA (MTRU_LNC000895)". Lineage: Eukaryota; Viridiplantae; Streptophyta; Magnoliopsida; Fabales; Fabaceae. The record is from RNAcentral.